CGCAAGCUUCCUCUCUUCUUCUCUCAUCUAUUUCUUAAACACUGUCAGCCAUUGUUGGAGAGCUUGAGAGCUCCCAUAUCAACUUCACUUAGCUUAAUUGCUCUAUUAGGUUGCUAAAGGAAAGAUUAAUUGAACCUGAUGAACCCUACUCGGUUCCUCUGAAUUGGUGUCGCUCGUGUUUCCCUUGUCAGUGCAACAUUUAUCACACCUGAUGGCUAACUUUCUAUGCUAUAUGUGCUUUCUUUUCGGAUAAUAUGUGUCAACAUUGUUGCUCAUGUAGGUCUUGCUACUAAUUGUUGUUUAUUCUUCAUGGAUAUCAGAUAAGUUGUUGCUGAGCCAGUCCUCAACUGUAGCACGGCGAAGUAAACAGUUGAGAAUUACUCUAAGCCCUGACACAGAGAUGACAUGGGAUGUGUAGCAGUAGAUUGAUAUUACAAAAGGCAUGAAACCAAAAGGCGUGAUACUACAUUACUACAGGAGGCUUGUCAAUGCUUAAUAGUUCUACUACUAUUAUUUUAAAUUUGUAGGUAGUAUUAAUUACUCAUGUAUUGUUCAAAGUUUGUUUGCAAUCAAACAUGUGCUAAUCUAUUUCCUAUAAUAAUUAGGCUCAGGAUUUGCUUUUGCGUUUUGAUAAAUAUUUUCUUAUAACUUGGGGGACCGUAUGCGCUAGCGCACGGAUCAACAACUAGUUAUAAAAAGUUGAUAUUGUGAAAAAAAUAAAAUGAAUCUAACAAGAUCACACAUGACUAUCUUUUAAUUUACGUACUUCCUCCGUUUUUUACUUGCACUAUUUAGGAGCACUAACAUUAAAAAAGGAAGUAA
Molecule: long non-coding RNA, 822 nt
Organism: Spinacia oleracea (spinach)
Lineage: Eukaryota; Viridiplantae; Streptophyta; Magnoliopsida; Caryophyllales; Amaranthaceae
Exons: 3
Source: RefSeq, a predicted model, not a curated record